RNAcentral lists this ribosomal RNA (497 nucleotides) under uncultured bacterium. RNAcentral describes it as "partial 16S ribosomal RNA". It matches the Rfam family "Bacterial small subunit ribosomal RNA", at positions 28 to 507 of the family's 1533-position model. The record is from RNAcentral.
GAUGAACGCUGGCGGCGUGCCUAAUACAUGCGAGUCGAGCGAACAGACGAGGAGCUUGCUCCUCUGACGUUAGCGGCGGACGGGUGAGUAACACGUGGAUAACCUACCUAUAAGACUGGGAUAACUUCGGGAAACCGGAGCUAAUACCGGAUAAUAUAUUGAACCGCAUGGUUCAAUAGUGAAAGACGGUUUUGCUGUCACGUAUAGAUGGAUCCGCGCCGCAUUAGCUAGUUGGUAAGGUAACGGCUUACCAAGGCGACGAUGCGUAGCCGACCUGAGAGGGUGAUCGGCCACACUGGAAGUGAGACACGGUCCAGAGUCCUACGGGAGGCAGCAGUAGGGAAUCUUCCGCAAUGGGCGAAAGCAUGACGGAGCAACGCCGAGUGAGUGAUGAAGGUCUUCGGAUCGUAAAACUCUGUUAUUAGGGAAGAACAAAUGUGUAAGUAACUAUGCACGUCUUGACGGUACCUAAUCAGAAAGCCACGGCUAACUACGUG